RNAcentral lists this ribosomal RNA (433 nucleotides) under uncultured bacterium. Its description in RNAcentral is "partial 16S ribosomal RNA". It matches the Rfam family "Bacterial small subunit ribosomal RNA", at positions 29 to 507 of the family's 1533-position model. The record is from RNAcentral.
AACGAACGCUGGCGGCAGGCUUAACACAUGCAAGUCGAGCGAGACCUUCGGGUCUAGCGGCGGACGGGUGAGUAACGCGUGGGAACGUGCCCUUCUCUAUGGAAUAGCCCCGGGAAACUGGGAGUAAUACCGUAUACGCCCUUUGGGGGAAAGAUUUAUCGGAGAAGGAUCGGCCCGCGUUGGAUUAGGUAGUUGGUGGGGUAAUGGCCCACCAAGCCGACGAUCCAUAGCUGGUUUGAGAGGAUGAUCAGCCACACUGGGACUGAGACACGGCCCAGACUCCUACGGGAGGCAGCAGUGGGGAAUCUUAGACAAUGGGGGCAACCCUGAUCUAGCCAGGCCGGGUGAGUGAUGAAGGCCUUAGGGUUGUAAAGCUCUUUCAGCUGGGAAGAUAAUGACGGUACCAGCAGAAGAAGCCCCGGCUAACUCCGUG